CCUGACCCCAUGCGGAAACUGGUGUGACGUGUGCAGUUCGCACAUGAGGUGCCAUCGUCAAAUAGCCCAGGCGUGAAGGUCGACUUGGGGCACAUCAAGAUGAUGAAGCCGGAGAGGAACUACGGCACUUACAUGGGAUCCCUCACCACCCCACCAUGCGCGGAGGGUGUCACCUGGAUUCUGUCGUUGUUCAACUUUCAAACGGCGUCCGCGGAACAGCUGGCUAAGCUCCGGGCUUCUGUGCCGAAGGGACACAACAACCGUCCAACCUUCGGCAGCGCCGGAAGGGGUUUCCGCAUGCGCACCAACGCUUGAGGUAUCAGGGUGGCGCCAGGAUGGAGAUGUAAGCGACACGAAGUGUGGCAGCUUGUAAAAUGCGACGCCUCGACGCUGAUGGCGUCGGUGUUUGUAGACUAGUGCAUUCAACUCCCUCUCUUUCCCACGAAUUGAGCCGGGCGUGGAGUGGAAUGAUGUAGAGUAGAAGUCAGUGUAGAGGCUGACAAGAGAGUGCGCAGACUGGAUGUGGUUUGCGCCUCGUCAGAAUGGUAGAUUUGACGCUAAUGCCGAGCUCCGUGGAAGCAAAGCAGCUUCACGGUUGUACCACUAUGCACCUCUCAAUGGAAGUUUGGUUGAAUCCGGGUUUUCGCUGGAGUUCCCAGCAGA
Molecule: non-coding RNA, 663 nt
Organism: Physcomitrium patens
Lineage: Eukaryota; Viridiplantae; Streptophyta; Bryopsida; Funariales; Funariaceae
Source: RefSeq, a predicted model, not a curated record